This 307-nucleotide ribosomal RNA is filed under the name Gammaproteobacteria bacterium. RNAcentral's name for it is "partial 23S ribosomal RNA". It matches the Rfam family "Bacterial large subunit ribosomal RNA", at positions 2624 to 2925 of the family's 2925-position model. Lineage: Bacteria; Pseudomonadati; Pseudomonadota; Gammaproteobacteria. The record is from RNAcentral.
AGACAGUUCGGUCCCUAUCUGCCGUGGGCGUUUGAGAUUUGAGAGGAGCUGCUCUCAGUACGAGAGGACCGGAGUGGACGGACCUCUGGUGUUCCGGUUGUCACGCCAGUGGCAUCGCCGGGUAGCUACGUCCGGACGGGAUAACCGCUGAAAGCAUCUAAGCGGGAAGCCCCCCUCGAGAUAAGAUCUCACCAAAUCUCCAAGAUUUCUUAAGGGCCCUCGUAGACUACGAGGUUGAUAGGCGGGAUGUGUAAGCGCUGCGAGGCGUUGAGCUAACCCGUACUAAUUGCCCGUGAGGCUUGACCAU